This 796-nucleotide ribosomal RNA is filed under the name uncultured Alphaproteobacteria bacterium. RNAcentral describes it as "bacterial SSU rRNA". It matches the Rfam family "Bacterial small subunit ribosomal RNA", at positions 89 to 914 of the family's 1533-position model. The record is from RNAcentral. Lineage: Bacteria; Pseudomonadati; Pseudomonadota; Alphaproteobacteria.
GCCUUAGUGGCGCACGGGUGAGUAGCGCGUGGGAACCUGCCCUGGAGUGGGGGAUAACCGAGGGAAACUUCGGCUAAUACCGCAUGCGCCCGGAGCAAUCCGGGGAAAGAUUUAUCGCUCUAGGAGGGGCCCGCGUCGGAUUAGCUAGUUGGUGGGGUAACGGCCUACCAAGGCAUCGAUCCGUAGCUGGUCUGAGAGGAUGAUCAGCCACACUGGGACUGAGACACGGCCCAGACUCCUACGGGAGGCAGCAGUAGGGAAUAUUGGACAAUGGGCGAAAGCCUGAUCCAGCAAUGCCGCGUGAGUGAGGAAGGCCUUAGGGUUGUAAAGCUCUUUCGGCGGGGACGAUGAUGACGGUACCCGCAGAAGAAGCCCCGGCUAACUUCGUGCCAGCAGCCGCGGUAAUACGAAGGGGGCAAGCGUUGUUCGGAAUUACUGGGCGUAAAGGGCGCGUAGGCGGCCAUCUUUGUCAGGCGUGAAAGCCCCGGGCUCAACCUGGGAAUUGCGCUUGGGACGGGGUGGCUUGAGUUCGGGAGAGGAGAGUGGAAUUCCCAGUGUAGAGGUGAAAUUCGUAGAUAUUGGGAAGAACACCGGUGGCGAAGGCGGCUCUCUGGACCGAUACUGACGCUGAGGCGCGAAAGCGUGGGGAGCAAACAGGAUUAGAUACCCUGGUAGUCCACGCUGUAAACGAUGUGUGCUAGACGUUGGGAAGCCUAGCUUCUCGGUGUCGCAGCUAACGCGGUAAGCACACCGCCUGGGGAGUACGGCCGCAAGGUUAAAACUCAAAGGAAUUGAC